GCGCCCUGGGCGCCGCGCCCCAGGGAGCAGCUGGACUGACCGAGCCCCUGUGCCGCCCCCAG
RNAcentral lists this microRNA precursor (62 nucleotides) under Sorex araneus (European shrew). RNAcentral's name for it is "microRNA 1225 (ENSSARG00000017191.1)". The record is from RNAcentral. Lineage: Eukaryota; Metazoa; Chordata; Mammalia; Eulipotyphla; Soricidae.